AUGAACGCUGGCGGCGUGCCUCAUACAUGCAAGUCGAGCGAACGGACGAGAAGCUUGCUUCUCUGAUGUUAGCGGCGGACGGGUGAGUAACACGUGGAUAACCUACCUAUAAGACUGGGAUAACUUCGGGAAACCGGAGCUAAUACCGGAUAAUAUUUUGAACCGCAUGGUUCAAAAGUGAAAGACGGUCCUGCUGUCACUUAUAGAUGGAUCCGCGCUGCAUUAGCUAGUUGGUAAGGUAAUGGCUUACCAAGGCAACGAUGCAUAGCCGACCUGAGAGGGUGAUCGGCCACACUGGAACUGAGACACGGUCCAGACUCCUACGGGAGGCAGCAGUAGGGAAUCUUCCGCAAUGGGCGAAAGCCUGACGGAGCAACGCCGCGUGAGUGAUGAAGGUCUUCGGAUCGUAAAACUCUGUUAUUAGGGAAGAACAUAUGUGUAAGUAACUGUGCACAUCUUGACGGUACCUAAUCAGAAAGCCACGGCUAACUACGUG
RNAcentral lists this ribosomal RNA (496 nucleotides) under uncultured bacterium. RNAcentral's name for it is "partial 16S ribosomal RNA". It matches the Rfam family "Bacterial small subunit ribosomal RNA", at positions 29 to 507 of the family's 1533-position model. The record is from RNAcentral.